UCAAAGGUUUAUACGGAAGGUGGCAAACCACCAGGCUAUGAUCGUGUACGGGCCGCUGAAAUUGGAAACAAAGACUUUGAACUGGAUGUUCUUGAAGAAGCAUACACAACCGAACAUUGGCUCGUUCGAAUUUAUAAAGUAAAAGACUUGAGAAACCGUGGCGUAUAAUUUAAUUUCGUCUAAUUUUCUAAUAAGAAAUAUUUAAAGCAUGUCCAGUCUUAAACAAUAUGAGUCUCAAGAUCGAAAAAUUCUCACAAUCAAUGCAUCAACACUGAUUGAGAAUUGAAUAUGAACAAAAUGUUGGACAGAACAAAUGAACAUAAAGCACAAAAACGUAUAGAUUUUGUAAGUUCAAUUUAUUAGAAAAAUGUUUGUUUGUAAAUACAAAGUAUUUUUUAAAUCAAUUAAUUUUUCUCUCCGAAAUAAUCUCAGCGUUGAAAUCACAACGGCAUUUGUUUGAAUGCACAAAUUGAAAGAAAAAAAAAAGAUGCAAAUGCGAUCGUGAUUCAAAACUGACUGUUGAAAUACUUUAACUUGUGAUUUUUCUUAUGCAUAAACUCAGUGCUCUCAUAGAAUUAAAAGCAAGCAUUUACAAUAGAUUUUUAGAUUUUCCAUUUAAAAAAACAAAAUGAACAAGUAAUUUGUAGUUCUCUAGUAUUUAAUAUGUUUGCAAUAUAAAAAAAGUAAAAUAUAAAAUAUUGCAAAGCACAUCGCAUUGAUAAGAUUGAUUAUGAUACUACAUUGCAAUUUGAACUAAAAAUACACAUUUUUUUAACAUAAUAACCAAAAUCGAAAAUCAUCUUCUGAUUCAGUCAAUUGAAAAAUAUUUAAAGAUUUAUUAAGUUUAGGAAUUUAUCGGCGGCAACAACGACUAUUUCAUCCCAUUCUGCAGAUGCUUGGAAUUUCGUGGAAUGAGCGUUGGCUGAGAGAUGUGAGCUGGGUGCACGAUGAUGUGACAAUGUUCAAUGUAAAGAUGGACUUUGGGCAAAUUAUUUGGUCAGCAUCGAACAGACGAAGUUUGAGCAUAAGAAUGGUUUGCUCGGAUUUUAAUUGAACUUUUAUGAAUCGGGUUUACGGUGUAAAGUUUGACAAUGAUAUUCUAUGCUGUUUUGUGCCAUGAAAAAUGAGGAAGUUUUCGACCGGAAGCUGUACUACCAAUGUUUUAAAUAUUGAUUGAUUGCUUUAAAUAAAAUAAAAAACACACUUUCUGAAUGAAAACAACAACGGUUUUUAAUUCAUUUUGUAAGCAGAAUAAAUUUUUCAAAGUUUGGCUCAUAAAUAGCAAAUGAUGAGAAUACAAUUAAAAAAAUCCACCCCCAAAAAUUCCGGAAAACUCAUUGUGCGAAGAAAAAUAUUGAGAACGAUUU
Molecule: long non-coding RNA, 1367 nt
Organism: Contarinia nasturtii (swede midge)
Lineage: Eukaryota; Metazoa; Arthropoda; Insecta; Diptera; Cecidomyiidae
Exons: 5
Source: RefSeq, a predicted model, not a curated record